UGCCAGCCGCCGCGGUAAUACAUAGGGUGCAAGCGUUAAUCGGAGUUAUUGGGCGUAAAGGGCGCGUAGGCGGAAGCGCAAGUUAGAUGUGAAAGCCCUGGGCUUAACCUGGGAAUUGCAUUUAAAACUGCGCAUCUAGAGUAGAGUAGAGGUAAGCGGAAUUUCCGGUGUAGCGGUGAAAUGCGUAGAUAUCGGAAGGAACACCAGUGGCGAAGGCGGCUUACUGGACUCAUACUGACGCUGAGGCGCGAAAGCGUGGGUAGCGAACAGGAUUAGAUA
Molecule: ribosomal RNA, 279 nt
Filed under: uncultured bacterium
Lineage: Bacteria
Description: partial 16S ribosomal RNA
Rfam family: Bacterial small subunit ribosomal RNA
Source: RNAcentral